GCCGGGCCCGUCCCACCCCAUCCGGGAUUGGCUGUGCGUGCCGCGGCCCUCCACCCCGCCCCGCUCAGGAUCUUCCCGGGAUUGGCUGAGCUCCCCGAACUCUCCAGGGAUCGGCUGCGCGCCCCGCCCUUGCCCAGAGUCUUCCCGGGAUUGGCUGCGGGCCCCGCGACCCUCCUGCUUCCCUCCCCGCCCCGCGCCGCCUCUCUGGUUUGUGCGCCCGUCGCAGGUCGCAGGCCUCUUUGUCAGCUGGAGUUGCGUGGGCUGACGCGCCACUACUUUGUAGCGGGUUUCGGGCGGGCCACGCGUGCGGCGACAGGAACCCAACCCCAGCCGACCUUGAGCCCCAGGAGUUCGUCUCUUACGUCUGCGGAAGUGCAGCUGCCUCAGUUCUUAGCGCAGGUAUGUUCCUAGCCUUGAGCGGGGUGGGGGGAGGAAUGAGUCAGCCUGGAGCACGUGGCCAGUGGGACCGGAGGGUUCCCCGGCGUCUGUUUGUCGCCAAGGUCCGAAUCCGGCUCCCCUUAACUGGAAGGAAACAUCCAUGUAGGGGCUCACCAAACAAAACAGCUGUUUCUAGUGUGGUUUCAGACUUAGAGAAGCAGAGAUCCACGAGGUAUUGAGAGCAACGCGGA
This 629-nucleotide long non-coding RNA is filed under the name Pan troglodytes (chimpanzee). RNAcentral's name for it is "long non-coding RNA NONPTRT013109". The record is from RNAcentral. Lineage: Eukaryota; Metazoa; Chordata; Mammalia; Primates; Hominidae.